Non-coding RNA from Cyanistes caeruleus (blue tit), 911 nucleotides. The record is from RefSeq and is a predicted model, not a curated record. Lineage: Eukaryota; Metazoa; Chordata; Aves; Passeriformes; Paridae.
AAUGUAACUAGAGUUUUAAUAUCUUAUGCUUUUGACAGGACCGAGUAGGAGGAAGAGUUGCCACCUUUCGCAAAGGGAAUUAUGUUGCUGAUCUGGGAGCAAUGGUGGUAACAGGACUGGGAGGAAAUCCCAUGGCUGUGGUCAGCAAGCAAGUAAAUAUGGAACUGGCAAAGAUCAAACAAAAAUGUCCACUUUAUGAAGCGAAUGGACAAGCUGUAAGUCUGAUCCUGUUUCCAUGAACCUUCUAAAAAAGAAGUAAUAUCUCUAGUGUGUUUGUUACCAGGCUACUGGCCUAGCCUAAGAUGGCUUCCAGAGAGAGGGAAGAAGGAAGAGGUUUUGUGGAAGCCAAGUUUCUCUCUCCUUUGUUUAAGCCAUGCGCGGUUUAACAGAUGUGAGGUUUGCUCUUUGCAUCACUUGAGCUCUCAUCAUGUAACAGGUAUUUUCACACUGGCAGCACUCACUGUUUAACUGAGUAUCAUCAGUACAGUUAAAUACCACCAUUCCAUACAUGUCCUGCAGUGUUUCCAUCAUCCUAGAAAAGCUACAUUGGUAGUUCUUACUCACAGUGACCAUUCCAGAGGAUAAAUUACUGUCUGUCCACUUCACUGGGCUAUGCCAAGCCUUCUAAAGCCUUGUGAUUGUGUAGAGCCAUCCUACUGUCAGUCUUUUGGCAAGCUUCUGUAGCUUUGAUGAACACACCUUAUUUUCCAGUAAGGAAAUCUUAUGAGCCCAUAAGGCAGUAUAGUUUUCUCUUGCAAGAGAGAUCUGUUGUCAUCGUGGUUUGACAGUUCUUCUUGUGCCCAUCCUGGCAAAGUGUGACAUUGUGUUGUACAGACCUUGGUGUCUGACCAUUUGAGAGAGCUAAGGAUAUGAAUUUUUUUUUUUUUCCCAAGGGCUAUUCUCAGCAGCUG